AGAGUUUGAUCAUGGCUCAGGACGAACGCUGGCGGCGUGCUUAACACAUGCAAGUCGAGCGGAAAGGCCCUUCGGGGUACUCGAGCGGCGAACGGGUGAGUAACACGUGAGUAACCUGCCCUAGGCUUUGGGAUAACCCUCGGAAACGGGGGCUAAUACCGAAUAUGACUUCCUGCCGCAUGGUGGGGGGUGGAAAGUUUUUCGGCUUGGGAUGGACUCGCGGCCUAUCAGCUUGUUGGUGGGGUAAUGGCCUACCAAGGCGACGAGGGUAGCCGGCCUGAGAGGGCGACCGGCCACACUGGGACUGAGACACGGCCCAGACUCCUACGGGAGGCAGCAGUGGGGAAUAUUGCACAUUGGGCGAAAGCCUGAUGCAGCGACGCCGCGUGAGGGAUGACGGCCUUCGGGUUGUAAACCUCUUUCAGCAGGGACGAAGCGUAAGUGACGGUACCUGCAGAAGAAGCGCCGGCCAACUACGUGCCAGCAGCCGCGGUAAGACGUAGGGCGCGAGCGUUGUCCGGAUUUAUUGGGCGUAAAGAGCUCGUAGGCGGCUUGUCGCGUUGACUGUGAAAACCCGCAGCUCAACUGCGGGCCUGCAGUCGAUACGGACAGGCUAGAGUUCGGUAGGGGAGACUGGAAUUCCUGGUGUAGCGGUGGAAUGCGCAGAUAUCAGGAGGAACACCGGUGGCGAAGGCGGGUCUCUGGGCCGAUACUGACGCUGAGGAGCGAAAGCGUGGAGAGCGAACAGGAUUAGAUACCCUGGUAGUCCACGCUGUAAACGUUGGGCGCUAGGUGUGGGGGACCUCUCCGGUCUUCUGUGCCGCAGCUAACGCAUUAAGCGCCCCGCCUGGGGAGUACGGCCGCAAGGCUAAAACUUAAAGGAAUUGACGG
RNAcentral lists this ribosomal RNA (891 nucleotides) under uncultured marine bacterium. RNAcentral describes it as "bacterial SSU rRNA". It matches the Rfam family "Bacterial small subunit ribosomal RNA", at positions 8 to 916 of the family's 1533-position model. The record is from RNAcentral.